AAUAGGUGGAACCUAGAAACAACCCAGUCUGCCCCUCAACCAAACAAUGGAUAAGGAAAACGUGAGAUGCUGAGCAGUCACCAUGUAGGCUUCAAAGGACUAAGAUCUCCAGACUCUUCUCUGCAGGGACCGCCUGCCCAUCACCCAUCCCCCC
This is a long non-coding RNA of Mesocricetus auratus (golden hamster), 154 nucleotides long. RefSeq lists it as uncharacterized. The transcript is spliced from 3 exons. NCBI's taxonomy places the organism in Eukaryota, Metazoa, Chordata, Mammalia, Rodentia, Cricetidae. The record is from RefSeq and is a predicted model, not a curated record.